Molecule: ribosomal RNA, 253 nt
Filed under: uncultured bacterium
Lineage: Bacteria
Description: partial 16S ribosomal RNA
Rfam family: Bacterial small subunit ribosomal RNA
Source: RNAcentral
UACGGAGGGCGCAAGCGUUGUUCGGAAUCACUGGGCGUAAAGCGCGUGUAGGCGGCUUGGUAAGUCGGGUGUGAAAUCCCGGGGCUCAACCCCGGAACUGCACUCGAAACUGCCUCGCUAGAGUCCCGGAGAGGGUGGUGGAAUUCCCGGUGUAGAGGUGAAAUUCGUAGAUAUCGGGAGGAACACCAGUGGCGAAGGCGGCCACCUGGACGGUGACUGACGCUGAGACGCGAAAGCGUGGGGAGCAAACAGG